This 1346-nucleotide ribosomal RNA is filed under the name uncultured bacterium. RNAcentral describes it as "partial 16S ribosomal RNA". It matches the Rfam family "Bacterial small subunit ribosomal RNA", at positions 28 to 1381 of the family's 1533-position model. The record is from RNAcentral.
GACGAACGCUGGCGGCGUGCUUAACACAUGCAAGUCGAACGGAAAGGCCCUGCUUUUGUGGGGUGCUCGAGUGGCGAACGGGUGAGUAACACGUGAGUAACCUGCCCUUGACUUUGGGAUAACUUCAGGAAACUGGGGCUAAUACCGGAUAGGAGCUCCUGCUGCAUGGUGGGGGUUGGAAAGUUUCGGCGGUUGGGGAUGGACUCGCGGCUUAUCAGCUUGUUGGUGGGGUAGUGGCUUACCAAGGCUUUGACGGGUAGCCGGCCUGAGAGGGUGACCGGCCACAUUGGGACUGAGAUACGGCCCAGACUCCUACGGGAGGCAGCAGUGGGGAAUAUUGCACAAUGGGCGGAAGCCUGAUGCAGCAACGCCGCGUGCGGGAUGACGGCCUUCGGGUUGUAAACCGCUUUCGCCUGUGACGAAGCGUGAGUGACGGUGAUGGGUAAAGAAGCACCGGCUAACUACGUGCCAGCAGCCGCGGUGAUACGUAGGGUGCGAGCGUUGUCCGGAUUUAUUGGGCGUAAAGGGCUCGUAGGUGGUUGAUCGCGUCGGAAGUGUAAUCUUGGGGCUUAACCCUGAGCGUGCUUUCGAUACGGGUUGACUUGAGGAAGGUAGGGGAGAAUGGAAUUCCUGGUGGAGCGGUGGAAUGCGCAGAUAUCAGGAGGAACACCAGUGGCGAAGGCGGUUCUCUGGGCCUUUCCUGACGCUGAGGAGCGAAAGCGUGGGGAGCGAACAGGCUUAGAUACCCUGGUAGUCCACGCUGUAAACGGUGGGUACUAGGUGUGGGGUCCAUUCCACGGGUUCCGUGCCGUAGCUAACGCUUUAAGUACCCCGCCUGGGGAGUACGGCCGCAAGGCUAAAACUCAAAGGAAUUGACGGGGCCCCGCACAAGCGGCGGAGCAUGCGGAUUAAUUCGAUGCAACGCGUAGAACCUUACCUGGGUUUGACAUGGAUCGGGAGUGCUCAGAGAUGGGUGUGCCUCUUUUGGGGUCGGUUCACAGGUGGUGCAUGGCUGUCGUCAGCUCGUGUCGUGAGAUGUUGGGUUAAGUCCCGCAACGAGCGCAACCCUUGUUCACUGUUGCCAGCACGUUAUGGUGGGGACUCAGUGGAGACCGCCGGGGUCAACUCGGAGGAAGGUGGGGAUGACGUCAAGUCAUCAUGCCCCUUAUGUCCAGGGCUUCACGCAUGCUACAAUGGCUGGUACAGAGAGUGGCGAGCCUGUGAGGGUGAGCGAAUCUCGGAAAGCCGGUCUCAGUUCGGAUUGGGGUCUGCAACUCGACCUCAUGAAGUCGGAGUCGCUAGUAAUCGCAGAUCAGCAACGCUGCGGUGAAUACGUUCCCGGGGCU